RNAcentral lists this ribosomal RNA (444 nucleotides) under Triticum aestivum (bread wheat). RNAcentral's name for it is "partial small subunit ribosomal RNA". The record is from RNAcentral. Lineage: Eukaryota; Viridiplantae; Streptophyta; Magnoliopsida; Poales; Poaceae.
AUGCAGAUCGACGUAACCUCGUCUGAUGGCAAGACCACGGCGAAGGCAGCAAACCCGGAGUUUCAGACCUGGUACGCGAAAGAUCAGCAAGUUUUUUCAUACCUUCUGACGAUUCUCCCUCGUGAGAUAGCCAUCCAGGUUGCAUCAUGUCACACUUCGGCUGAGCUCUGGAAUACGGUUGAGGGUAUGCUUGCAUCCCGAACCCGUUCCCAGACCACCACCGUCCGCAUCGCCCUCGCCAACUUGCAGAAGGGCAACUCAUCCAUCACGGAGUACGUUGGGAAAAUCAGGUCCCUCUGCGAUGAACUGAUCGCGGCUGGAAAGAGGGUAGACGAGGAUGACAUCAUCUCCCACAUCUUAGUCGGGCUCGAGGAGGACUUCGACCCGGUGGUUUCUGCUAUGUGCUCUCGGGUGGAACCCGUGAGCGUGGCCGAGCUGUAUUAG